GCACUAGUGGUGCAAUGGUUAAGCAUUUGGCUGCUAACCAAAAGGUUAGUGGUUCAAACCCACCCAGUGGCU
Molecule: transfer RNA, 72 nt
Filed under: Loxodonta africana (African savanna elephant)
Lineage: Eukaryota; Metazoa; Chordata; Mammalia; Proboscidea; Elephantidae
Rfam family: tRNA
About the family: Transfer RNA (tRNA) molecules are approximately 80 nucleotides in length. Their secondary structure includes four short double-helical elements and three loops (D, anti-codon, and T loops). Further hydrogen bonds mediate the characteristic L-shaped molecular structure. tRNAs have two regions of fundamental functional importance: the anti-codon, which is responsible for specific mRNA codon recognition, and the 3' end, to which the tRNAs corresponding amino acid is attached (by aminoacyl-tRNA synthetases). tRNAs cope with the degeneracy of the genetic code in two manners: having more than one tRNA (with a specific anti-codon) for a particular amino acid; and 'wobble' base-pairing, i.e. permitting non-standard base-pairing at the 3rd anti-codon position.
Source: Rfam by way of RNAcentral